Non-coding RNA from Camellia sinensis, 350 nucleotides. The record is from RefSeq and is a predicted model, not a curated record. Lineage: Eukaryota; Viridiplantae; Streptophyta; Magnoliopsida; Ericales; Theaceae.
UUGAUCUUCAGCUUUGAUCGAUCUCAGCUAGGACGCAAUCGAUCUUCAGCUUCAAUCCGAAUCGAUCUUUGUGCCGCCUCGUAUCAGAAUCGAUCUUCACCUCAUUUCUGAAUCGAUCUGAGUUCUUUGGCUUCAAUCCGAAGGUAAAUAGCGAUUUGAUUGAUGCUCAUACUGGUAAUGUUAGCGAUCUUGCUUUCUCUCACCCAAACAAACAACUAUGCGUUAUAACUUGUGGGGAGGACAAGACUAUUAAGGUCUGGGAUGUUGCCACUGGUUCUAAGCAGUACACUUUCGAGGGUCAUUAGUUACCUGUUUAUUCUGUGUGCCCACAUACUGAGGAAAACAUUCAG